CCUACGGGAGGCAGCAGUGAGGAAUCUUGGUCAAUGGACGAGAGUCUGAACCAGCCAAGUAGCGUGAAGGAUGAAUGCCCUCUGGGUUGUAAACUUCUUUUAUAUGGGAAUAAAAUGUUCCACGUGUGGGAUUUUGUAUGUACCAUAUGAAUAAGGAUAGGCUAACUCCGUGCCAGACGCCGCGGUAAUACGGUGGAUCCGAGCGUUAUCCGGAUUUAUUGGGUUUAAAGGGAGCGUAGGUGGAUUGUUAAGUCAGUUGUGAAAGUUUGCGGCUCAACCGUAAAAUUGCAGUUGAAACUGGCAGACUUGAGUACAGUAGAGGAGGGCGGAAUUCGUGGUGUAGCGGUGAAAUGCUUAGAUAUCACGAAGAACUCCGAUUGCGAAGGCAGCUCACUGGACUGCAACUGACACUGAGGCUCGAAAGUGUGGGUAUCAAACAGGAUUAGAUACCCUGGUAGUC
RNAcentral lists this ribosomal RNA (460 nucleotides) under uncultured bacterium. Its description in RNAcentral is "partial 16S ribosomal RNA". It matches the Rfam family "Bacterial small subunit ribosomal RNA", at positions 338 to 795 of the family's 1533-position model. The record is from RNAcentral.